GAACCAUGAAACGAUCAGUCGAUUUCAGCAUUCGCCAUGAAACACAUCACAGUUUUCUCUCUCGCAACGUGCGUUCUCCUUUUCAUAACUUUCUUCCAUACUUUCCAUUUCGCAUUAGCUCAACCGGUACAACAAACACAAUCUGAUACAGAAGUAGAAAGUCACGCAAGUUUUGUAGUUCAUCCCCACCGGGAUUUAAAUUGAGUGGUAAAAAUCAAUGUGUCCCAACAAAAAAACCAAAAGGGAAACAUUAGUUAAUAAUCAACGGACACACCGAACAAUAAAUACGCUCUGAAUUAAAGCAGUAAAAAUAAAAUCAGUGCAUCAGUAAAAGAACACCCAUAAGAAACACAAAAAACCAUCCAAUGCAGUUUGCGCAUUGGUUUCCGGAUCACGCACGAAAGUUUCCGAAUCGAAUUGUGAUGAGUACAAAGUGUUAAAAGUGCAGUGAGAGUGUAAGGAGCUUACUUUGAAAAAAAAAGAAGCAGUUAUCAAGCUGAACCCUUUGAGCGAUUAACACGCUCAUUAUGUUUUCAUUCAUCAGGAUAGAGUAUGCUGGCUGAUGGAGUUUUUAUUCUUCGCUACCGUAGUUCAAUGAUUAAUUACACUCGUUUUCAACCUGACUCAGUCUCAUAGAGUACAUAAAUAAAUUAAUUCAUCAUUGAUGGUCAGUUGCUGUGCGCUUGCCAUUUCACCAUCUCGGCAUCCAGUCGGCAUCUUCUUAUCAGCAACUUUGUAUGAGGAAUGCUAUGAUUCUAAGAGAAUUGAGUAUGUGCUGUUCGUACCGCAGGACUAUGACCGAUGUUAUUCAGCUCUCCUAUCGCACCGUAACAAAACUCAUAGACUCAUUGCAACGUUGAAGCAUUAUAAACUCUUCCAACAAACUUACACCCCUUACACGAUGCACAAGACUAUAUGAACCAGGAAACGAUCAGUCGGCUACAGCAUUCGCCAUGAAGCGCAUCACAGUCUUCUCUUUCGCAACGUGCGUGCUCCUUUUCAUAACUUGCUUCCAUACUUUGGAUUUAGCAUCAGCUCAAUCGGAACAACAAGGACAAUCUGAUACAGAAGUAGAAAGUCAUGCGUUACGAGUGCCAAAACAGUGCGCAGAUGGGUUUAAACUAGAUCGUAAAAAGCAAUGUGUUCCACUACGAAAACCAAAAGGAUAAAUGUGUGAUGAUAACGGGCAUACGGCGAACAAUGAAUACGCAAAGAAUCGUGUCAAUGUACCGAUUUCAGCGUUGCAACGUGAGAGUAAACCUAAAGCAUCAAAGGACACUCUCAUAAAUAAAACACUCAAAAUCACCCCACACCGUUACCGCCAAUCUCCUCUCGGAAUGAGGUGCAGUGAAAGUGUAACGAGCUUCAAUUGAAUAAAAGAACUACCUACGCCUUUAACGUGUAGAACGUGUAUAUUCUCAAGAAUUAAGAAC
Long non-coding RNA from Anopheles darlingi, 1433 nucleotides. RefSeq lists it as uncharacterized. The transcript is spliced from 4 exons. Lineage: Eukaryota; Metazoa; Arthropoda; Insecta; Diptera; Culicidae. The record is from RefSeq and is a predicted model, not a curated record.